UGCAUUCACUACUGUAAGUCGCUUUGGAUAAGAGCGUCUGCUAAAUGACUAUAA
Molecule: non-coding RNA, 54 nt
Organism: Salmo salar (Atlantic salmon)
Lineage: Eukaryota; Metazoa; Chordata; Actinopteri; Salmoniformes; Salmonidae
Source: Rfam